UUGGAAGUAAAAGUCGUAACGAGGUUUCCGUAGGUGAACUUGCGGAAGGAUUGUUG
RNAcentral lists this ribosomal RNA (56 nucleotides) under Mammillaria centralifera. RNAcentral's name for it is "partial 18S ribosomal RNA". The record is from RNAcentral. Lineage: Eukaryota; Viridiplantae; Streptophyta; Magnoliopsida; Caryophyllales; Cactaceae.